UUGUUUUUCCAAAGGGAGGAAGGUUACUGAGAGGGGAAGAUGAAUUGUGAGAUCACUUUUGAGUGUGUUUUAGUCGUUCCCGCUACCCACACCCCCUUUGGGGGGAACAUGUGAUCAAGGAGAGAGGGUGCUGCUAACCCACGGAACGGCCCGAAGCAUUGCAGAUCGGUGCUGAGUUGUUUUUGGAAGACGGCACACAGAGGGAAACCUGCUGUACUACUUGAAGUAAUCUACUUCCUCUUGGGCCAGGCAUAUUAAAAAAAGACCAAGUCUACAAAGUUUAUCUGAGAAACUAAUAUCAUAGAUACUGGAAUGGCCUCAGAGUGGACCUUUCCAUAGUCCUUCAAUGCUUUACUCAGUUACACUGGUUUAAAAAAACAACAACCCACCAUUGUAAUGGGAACCCACCUAAACAGUUUACGUUUGACGUCUUCUUGGGCUGGAUUUCUUGGGUGUUUGCUCCACUGAACUGGCACUCGGGGAUUCUUCUGAAACCUCUUCUUCUGUUGUGUUGGCUCUUUUAGGUUGAGGAGAAGAAUCUGGGGGGGGGGGGGACAUUGAAAGAAACAAAAAGAAAAGUGAAAACUUGAUAUUAAAUAUAUUUGCUGCCAGAUGUUUGCGCUGCAUGGGAUAACAGGGGACUGGAGGACCCUGAAUAUUUAUGACCCUCAGGGUCAACUAUCGAAGGAGAUGAAAGAGAUGGGGAGGAGCGGUUUUUUUUUGGUUAAAUAAAGAUACAAGUUUCUUGUUUUGUCCAAAAUAUCCUUCUACACUUUGCUUCAUAUGUGUUAUGAAACUUGUACUAUUUAAAAAAGUCAAAAGGAUGCAGAGUUCAGAUACCGAUUACUACAGUUGCGGGGAGCGGAAGGUGGUGUUAGUUUGUAAGGGCAUUUGGUUGCAAAUGAUCCAUGGGCUCCAGAAGCCAAUUUAACUUAAGAUUCCCAGGAGUACAGACAGUCCUGGGUUUUUAAACUAAGAGGGGUAUAUCUGAAAACGCUGCCUGCCAGUAAACCAGUAGAACAGUUUAUACAGGACAUGAGCGUGAGGUGUACAGCGCUAACUACCACUGACAAGGAUACAGUACAGAAAGCAAAAAGCUUUUGUUUUAUAAGAGUACGUUACCAUCCGUCGUUGGUCGUUUUCUUUGCCCAGUGCACUG
Molecule: long non-coding RNA, 1159 nt
Organism: Mauremys mutica (yellowpond turtle)
Lineage: Eukaryota; Metazoa; Chordata; Testudines; Geoemydidae
Exons: 3
Source: RefSeq, a predicted model, not a curated record